This is a long non-coding RNA of Leopardus geoffroyi (Geoffroy's cat), 373 nucleotides long. RefSeq lists it as uncharacterized. The record is from RefSeq and is a predicted model, not a curated record. NCBI's taxonomy places the organism in Eukaryota, Metazoa, Chordata, Mammalia, Carnivora, Felidae. The transcript has 2 exons.
CGAGGCUGCUCAGGGAGAGAAAGGAGGGCUUGUCAGUGACCUGGCCUGGCCAGGCCCCCACCCAAAGGCCUCACCGCAUCCCCCUGCACCUUCCUCCAGCUGUGAGGAGGCUUCCAGCCACUGCCUCACCACUCGAAGACCCUCCUCUGCCAUUACACGGGGAUACCUACAGAGGGAGCACCAGGACGAGAGGGCACUGUAUGGAGAAGACGGAGAGAGAAUAUCAAAGUGCAUCGAAGACCACGUGCAGAGGAAAACUUCACUUCCCUGAUCUCCCCCCUCCAGGACCCUGGUCUGCUUCUUUUCAUAAUGGGCAUAAGGUAGAAGGAAAUGUGAACGUAUACAAAUAGGAUAGGAUACCAUCUUCCAGACA